RNAcentral lists this transfer RNA (71 nucleotides) under Marmota monax (woodchuck). Its description in RNAcentral is "tRNA.Val". The record is from RNAcentral. Lineage: Eukaryota; Metazoa; Chordata; Mammalia; Rodentia; Sciuridae.
GGGGUUGUGGCUCAGAGGUGGAGCACUCGCCUCACAUGUGUGAGGCCUUGGGUUCGGUCCUCAGCACCACA